RNAcentral lists this ribosomal RNA (406 nucleotides) under uncultured bacterium. RNAcentral describes it as "bacterial SSU rRNA". It matches the Rfam family "Bacterial small subunit ribosomal RNA", at positions 1003 to 1395 of the family's 1533-position model. The record is from RNAcentral.
UAAGCUUACCGUGUUUGAUGGGACAAAAACACUAGGUGGUGCAUGGAUUGUCGGCUUCUAGUCUUCGUGUCUGUGGAGAUGUUGUGGGUUAAGUCCCGCAACGAGCGCAACCCCUCUCACUGGAUAGUUACUACGCAAGAGGACUCUAUUCACACUGCCGUAUGAACAACAACGGAGGAAGGUGGGGAUGAGCGUCAAAUCAUCAUGCCCUUUAUGACUUGGGCUACACAGCGUACUACAAUGGCGUUCAGCGAAAGAGAAGCGAAAUCGCGAGAUGGAGCAAAACUCAAAAACAACGUCCCAGCUUCAAUUGCAGGCUGCAACUCGCCUGCAUGAAGUCGGAAUUGCUAGUAAUCGCAAUCACAUGCUGCGGUGAAUACGUUCCCGGGUCUUGUACACACCGAGG